AUUGAACGCUGGCGGCAUGCUUUACACAUGCAAGUCGAACGGUAACAGGUUAAGCUGACGAGUGGCGAACGGGUGAGUAAUGCAUCGGAACGUGCCCGGUCGUGGGGGAUAACGCAGUGAAAGCUGCGCUAAUACCGCAUACGAUCUGAGGAUGAAAGCGGGGGACCGUAAGGCCUCGCGCGAUCGGAGCGGCCGAUGUCAGAUUAGGUAGUUGGUGGGGUAAAGGCUCACCAAGCCAACGAUCUGUAGCUGGUCUGAGAGGACGACCAGCCCCACUGGGACUGAGACACGGCCCAGACUCCUACGGGAGGCAGAAGUGGGGAAUUUUGGACAAUGGGCGAAAGCCUGAUCCAGCAAUGCCGCGUGCAGGAAGAAGGCCUUCGGGUUGUAAACUGCUUUUGUACGGAGCGAAAAGGUCUCCUCUAAUACAGGGGGCUCAUGACGGUACCGUAAGAAUAAGCACCGGCUAACUACGUGCCAGCAGCCGCCGUAA
This 493-nucleotide ribosomal RNA is filed under the name uncultured bacterium. Its description in RNAcentral is "partial 16S ribosomal RNA". It matches the Rfam family "Bacterial small subunit ribosomal RNA", at positions 30 to 523 of the family's 1533-position model. The record is from RNAcentral.